UCGUAGUCCGGAUCGGAGUCUGCAACUCGACUCCGUGAAGUCGGAAUCGCUAGUAAUCGCGAAUCAGAAUGUCGCGGUGAAUACGUUCCCGGGCCUUGUACACACCGCCCGUCACACCAUGGGAGUGGGUUGCACCAGAAGUAGAUAGCUUAACCUUCGGGAGGGCGUUUACCACGGUGUGAUUCAUGACUGGGGUGAAGUCGUAACAAGGUAACCCUAGGGGAACCUGGGGUUGGAUCACCUCCUUACCUUAA
RNAcentral lists this ribosomal RNA (254 nucleotides) under Aeromonas salmonicida. RNAcentral's name for it is "partial 16S ribosomal RNA". It matches the Rfam family "Bacterial small subunit ribosomal RNA", at positions 1286 to 1533 of the family's 1533-position model. Lineage: Bacteria; Pseudomonadati; Pseudomonadota; Gammaproteobacteria; Aeromonadales; Aeromonadaceae. The record is from RNAcentral. RNAcentral also lists the same sequence under 1 other name.